UCGGGCGGGUGCGCAGAACAACAGGGAUUGCCCUAGUAACGGCGAGUGAAGCGGCAACAGCUCAAAUUUGAAAUCUGGCUCUUUCAGAGUCCGAGUUGUAAUUUGCAGAGGGCGCUUUGGCUUUGGCAGCGGUCCAAGUUCCUUGGAACAGGACGUCACAGAGGGUGAGAAUCCCGUACGUGGUCGCUAGCUAUUGCCGUGUAAAGCCCCUUCGACGAGUCGAGUUGUUUGGGAAUGCAGCUCUAAAUGGGAGGUAAAUUUCUUCUAAAGCUAAAUAUUGGCCAGAGACCGAUAGCGCACAAGUAGAGUGAUCGAAAGAUGAAAAGCACUUUGGAAAGAGAGUCAAACAGCACGUGAAAUUGUUGAAAGGGAAGCGCUUGCAGCCAGACUUGCUUGCAGUUGCUCAUCCGGGCUUUUGCCCGGUGCACUCUUCUGUAGGCAGGCCAGCAUCAGUUUGGGCGGUGGGAUAAAGGUCUCUGUCACGUACCUCUCUUCGGGGAGGCCUUAUAGGGGAGACGACAUACCACCAGCCUAGACUGAGGUCCGCGCAUCUGCUAGGAUGCUGGCGUAAUGGCUGUAAGCGGCCCGUCUUGAAACACGGACCAAGGAGUCUAACAUCUAUGCGAGUGUUUGGGUGUCAAGCCCGAGCGCGUAAUGAAAGUGAACGGAGGUGGGAACCCGCAAGGGUGCACCAUCGACCGAUCCUGAAGUUUACGGAAGGAUUUGAGUAAGAGCAUGGCUGUUGGGACCCGAAAGAUGGUGAACUAUGCUUGAAUAGGGUGAAGCCAGAGGAAACUCUGGUGGAGGCUCGCAGCGGUUCUGACGUGCAAAUCGAUCGUCAAAUUUGGGCAUAGGGGCGAAAGACUAAUCGAACUAUCUAGUAGCUGGUUCCUGCCGAAGUUUCCCCUCAGGAAA
This 915-nucleotide ribosomal RNA is filed under the name Bipolaris setariae. Its description in RNAcentral is "LSU rRNA". It matches the Rfam family "Eukaryotic large subunit ribosomal RNA", at positions 46 to 980 of the family's 3401-position model. The record is from RNAcentral. Lineage: Eukaryota; Fungi; Ascomycota; Dothideomycetes; Pleosporales; Pleosporaceae.